UUCGGGACAACUCUGGGAAACUGGAGCUAAUACCGGAUACGCCCUUUUGGGGAAAGGUUUACCGCCGAAGGAUCGGCCCGCGUCUGAUUAGCUAGUUGGUGGGGUAACGGCCUACCAAGGCGACGAUCAGUAGCUGGUCUGAGAGGAUGAUCAGCCACACUGGGACUGAGACACGGCCCAGACUCCUACGGGAGGCAGCAGUGGGGAAUAUUGGACAAUGGGCGCAAGCCUGAUCCAGCCAUGCCGCGUGAGUGAUGAAGGCCUUAGGGUUGUAAAGCUCUUUUAUCCGGGACGAUAAUGACGGUACCGGAGGAAUAAGCCCCGGCUAACUUCGUGCCAGCAGCCGCGGUAAUACGAAGGGGGCUAGCGUUGCUCGGAAUCACUGGGCGUAAAGGGCGCGUAGGCGGCGUUUUAAGUCGGGGGUGAAAGCCUGUGGCUCAACCACAGAAUGGCCUUCGAUACUGGGACGCUUGAGUCUGGUAGAGGUUGGUGGAACUGCGAGUGUAGAGGUGAAAUUCGUAGAUAUUCGCAAGAACACCGGUGGCGAAGGCGGCCAACUGGACCGGCACUGACGCUGAGGCGCGAAA
RNAcentral lists this ribosomal RNA (587 nucleotides) under uncultured bacterium. Its description in RNAcentral is "bacterial SSU rRNA". It matches the Rfam family "Bacterial small subunit ribosomal RNA", at positions 137 to 758 of the family's 1533-position model. The record is from RNAcentral.